Molecule: ribosomal RNA, 402 nt
Filed under: Bacteroidota bacterium
Lineage: Bacteria; Pseudomonadati; Bacteroidota
Description: Bacteroidetes bacterium partial 16S ribosomal RNA
Rfam family: Bacterial small subunit ribosomal RNA
Source: RNAcentral
UGGGGAAUUUUGCACAAUGGGGGAAACCCUGAUGCAGCGACGCCGCGUGAUUUAGAAGGCCUUCGGGUUGUAAAAAUCUUUUCUAUGGGAAGAAAAUGACAGUACCAUAGGAAUAAGGACCGGCUAAUUACGUGCCAGCAGCCGCGGUAAUGCGUAAGGUCCGAGCGUUGUCCGGAAUCAUUGGGCGUAAAGGGUACGUAGGCGGGUAAGCAAGUUAGAAGUGAAAUCCUAUAGCUAAACUAUAGUAAGCUUUUAAAACUGCUCAUCUUGAGGUAUGGAAGGGAAAGUGGAAUUCCUGGUGUGGCGGUGAAAGGCGCAGAUAUUAGGCGGAAAACCGGGGGCGAAGGAGACUUUCUGGCCAUAACCGGACGCUGUGGUACGAAAGCGUGGGUAGCAAACAGG